UGCAAGUCGAACGGUGUCUUCGGACAUAGUGGCGCACGGGUGCGUAACACGUAUGCAACCUACCUUACAUUGGGGGAUAGCCUUUCGAAAGGGAGAUUAAUACCGCAUAAGACAGUAGCUGGGCAUCCAGCAGCUGUUAAAGAUUUAUCGAUGUAAGAUGGGCAUGCGUCCAAUUAGUUAGUUGGCGAGGUAACGGCUCACCAAGACUUUGAUUGGUAGGGGAACUGAGAGGUCAAUCCCCCACACUGGCACUGAGAUACGGGCCAGACUCCUACGGGAGGCAGCAGUAGGGAAUAUUGGGCAAUGGACGCAAGUCUGACCCAGCCAUGCCGGGUGCAGGAUGAAGGCGUUAUGCGUUGUAAACUGCUUUUAUACAGGAAGAAACGACUCUUGCGAGAGGCAUUGACGGUACUGUGUGAAUAAGCACCGGCUAACUCCGUGCCAGCAGCCGCGGUAAUACGGAGGGUGCAAGCGUUGUCCGGAUUUAUUGGGUUUAAAGGGUGCGCAGGUGGUUUAUUAAGUCAGUGGUGAAAGACGGUCGCUCAACGAUUGCAGUGCCAUUGAAACUGGUAGACUUGAGUAAAGUAGAGGUGGGCGGAAUUGAUAGUGUAGCGGUGAAAUGCAUAGAUAUUAUCAAGAACUCCAAUUGCGUAGGCAGCUCACUUGGCUUUUACUGACACUCAUGCACGAAAGUGUGGGU
This 700-nucleotide ribosomal RNA is filed under the name uncultured bacterium. RNAcentral describes it as "bacterial SSU rRNA". It matches the Rfam family "Bacterial small subunit ribosomal RNA", at positions 56 to 766 of the family's 1533-position model. The record is from RNAcentral.